RNAcentral lists this ribosomal RNA (2521 nucleotides) under Salmonella enterica subsp. enterica. Its description in RNAcentral is "partial 23S ribosomal RNA". It matches the Rfam family "Bacterial large subunit ribosomal RNA", at positions 528 to 2925 of the family's 2925-position model. The record is from RNAcentral. Lineage: Bacteria; Pseudomonadati; Pseudomonadota; Gammaproteobacteria; Enterobacterales; Enterobacteriaceae. RNAcentral also lists the same sequence under 1 other name.
GGCGAGGGGAGUGAAAAAGAACCUGAAACCGUGUACGUACAAGCAGUGGGAGCCCCACCACCAAAGCAUUCUCUGGUGUUGAAGGCCCUGCAAAGCAGCAUCGCGGUGGCGGAGCGUCGUUUGCGACGCCCAACACACAAAACAAGCGGUGAGUGCUUUGGGGUGGGGUGACUGCGUACCUUUUGUAUAAUGGGUCAGCGACUUAUAUUCUGUAGCAAGGUUAACCGUAUAGGGGAGCCGUAGGGAAACCGAGUCUUAACCGGGCGUUAAGUUGCAGGGUAUAGACCCGAAACCCGGUGAUCUAGCCAUGGGCAGGUUGAAGGUUGGGUAACACUAACUGGAGGACCGAACCGACUAAUGUUGAAAAAUUAGCGGAUGACCUGUGGCUGGGGGUGAAAGGCCAAUCAAACCGGGAGAUAGCUGGUUCUCCCCGAAAGCUAUUUAGGUAGCGCCUCGUGAAUUCAUCUCCGGGGGUAGAGCACUGUUUCGGCUAGGGGGCCAUCCCGGCUUACCAACCCGAUGCAAACUGCGAAUACCGGAGAAUGUUAUCACGGGAGACACACGGCGGGUGCUAACGUCCGUCGUGAAGAGGGAAACAACCCAGACCGCCAGCUAAGGUCCCAAAGUCAUGGUUAAGUGGGAAACGAUGUGGGAAGGCCCAGACAGCCAGGAUGUUGGCUUAGAAGCAGCCAUCAUUUAAAGAAAGCGUAAUAGCUCACUGGUCGAGUCGGCCUGCGCGGAAGAUGUAACGGGGCUAAACCAUGCACCGAAGCUGCGGCAGCGACGCUGAUGCGUUGUUGGGUAGGGGAGCGUUCUGUAAGCCUGUGAAGGUGGCCUGUGAGGGUUGCUGGAGGUAUCAGAAGUGCGAAUGCUGACAUAAGUAACGAUAAAGCGGGUGAAAAGCCCGCUCGCCGGAAGACCAAGGGUUCCUGUCCAACGUUAAUCGGGGCAGGGUGAGUCGACCCCUAAGGCGAGGCCGAAAGGCGUAGUCGAUGGGAAACGGGUUAAUAUUCCCGUACUUGGUGUUACUGCGAAGGGGGGACGGAGAAGGCUAUGUUGGCCGGGCGACGGUUGUCCCGGUUUAAGCGUGUAGGUGUGUGUUCCAGGUAAAUCCGGUUCACUUUAACACUGAGGCGUGAUGACGAGGCACUACGGUGCUGAAGCAACAAAUGCCCUGCUUCCAGGAAAAGCCUCUAAGCAUCAGGUAACAUCAAAUCGUACCCCAAACCGACACAGGUGGUCAGGUAGAGAAUACCAAGGCGCUUGAGAGAACUCGGGUGAAGGAACUAGGCAAAAUGGUGCCGUAACUUCGGGAGAAGGCACGCUGACACGUAGGUGAAGUGAUUUACUCAUGGAGCUGAAGUCAGUCGAAGAUACCAGCUGGCUGCAACUGUUUAUUAAAAACACAGCACUGUGCAAACACGAAAGUGGACGUAUACGGUGUGACGCCUGCCCGGUGCCGGAAGGUUAAUUGAUGGGGUCAGCGCAAGCGAAGCUCCUGAUCGAAGCCCCGGUAAACGGCGGCCGUAACUAUAACGGUCCUAAGGUAGCGAAAUUCCUUGUCGGGUAAGUUCCGACCUGCACGAAUGGCGUAAUGAUGGCCAGGCUGUCUCCACCCGAGACUCAGUGAAAUUGAACUCGCUGUGAAGAUGCAGUGUACCCGCGGCAAGACGGAAAGACCCCGUGAACCUUUACUAUAGCUUGACACUGAACAUUGAGCCUUGAUGUGUAGGAUAGGUGGGAGGCUUUGAAGCGUGGACGCCAGUCUGCAUGGAGCCGGCCUUGAAAUACCACCCUUUAAUGUUUGAUGUUCUAACGUGGACCCGUGAUCCGGGUUGCGGACAGUGUCUGGUGGGUAGUUUGACUGGGGCGGUCUCCUCCUAAAGAGUAACGGAGGAGCACGAAGGUUGGCUAAUCCUGGUCGGACAUCAGGAGGUUAGUGCAAUGGCAUAAGCCAGCUUGACUGCGAGCGUGACGGCGCGAGCAGGUGCGAAAGCAGGUCAUAGUGAUCCGGUGGUUCUGAAUGGAAGGGCCAUCGCUCAACGGAUAAAAGGUACUCCGGGGAUAACAGGCUGAUACCGCCCAAGAGUUCAUAUCGACGGCGGUGUUUGGCACCUCGAUGUCGGCUCAUCACAUCCUGGGGCUGAAGUAGGUCCCAAGGGUAUGGCUGUUCGCCAUUUAAAGUGGUACGCGAGCUGGGUUUAGAACGUCGUGAGACAGUUCGGUCCCUAUCUGCCGUGGGCGCUGGAGAACUGAGGGGGGCUGCUCCUAGUACGAGAGGACCGGAGUGGACGCAUCACUGGUGUUCGGGUUGUCAUGCCAAUGGCACUGCCCGGUAGCUAAAUGCGGAAGAGAUAAGUGCUGAAAGCAUCUAAGCACGAAACUUGCCCCGAGAUGAGUUCUCCCUGAGACUUAGAGUCUCCUGAAGGAACGUUGAAGACGACGACGUUGAUAGGCCGGGUGUGUAAGCGCAGCGAUGCGUUGAGCUAACCGGUACUAAUGAACCGUGAGGCUUAACCUU